AGAGUUAUAACUACUAUCGUUGUCACAAGAAUAUAAAGAGUUUGUAUCGGUGGGGGUUUCUACUUUCACUAUCCACCAACCUGACAAAUUACUCUCAUUCUUCAUCGUACUCUCUUUUACCCAGGUUACUAUUUCUCUCUUCUUUUUGGUUUUACUCUGUCUCUCUCUUUCUUUUGGAGCUUUCUUGACUCUUGAUUCACAUAACUUAUAGCUAGUGAGUACUACGUAGUACGUACUAUAUUUCAAAGAACUUAUAAACAAAAGCAAAUUUUGUCAAGCAAAGGGAUCAUAUAGUGUGAUACAUCCUUCGUUUUUGAACAUAUAAAUGAUAUAAACGAUCUUUAUUUAUUUUAAGUGAAAACAUAUUUUUUGCUCCUUUCUUUCUGUUGUUCAUAACCAAAAAAAAAACACAUUUGGUUCGUUGUUUCUUGUUUCUAAAUGUGUUUUAUGAAACAAUUUUUUCAAUCUUUCAGGUUUUCUCUCUGAGUUAAAAGCUUGAAGAAACAAUGUCUCAAAAGGUGGGAGCGAUGGGUGGUCACAAGGGAGGAGCAUUCGAUGAUGGUGUUUUUGAUGGUGUUAAGAGAAUAACUGUUGGAAAAGAUUUUCGCAAUAUAAAUUAUAUCAGGAUCGAAU
This 633-nucleotide long non-coding RNA is filed under the name Capsella grandiflora. RNAcentral describes it as "long non-coding RNA (CGRA_LNC000170)". Lineage: Eukaryota; Viridiplantae; Streptophyta; Magnoliopsida; Brassicales; Brassicaceae. The record is from RNAcentral.